RNAcentral lists this small RNA (26 nucleotides) under Bombyx mori (domestic silkworm). RNAcentral describes it as "ovarian small RNA-29204". Lineage: Eukaryota; Metazoa; Arthropoda; Insecta; Lepidoptera; Bombycidae. The record is from RNAcentral.
UCGUAUUUGAGAACGAAGUAACGUGA